Molecule: microRNA precursor, 190 nt
Filed under: Oryza brachyantha (malo sina)
Lineage: Eukaryota; Viridiplantae; Streptophyta; Magnoliopsida; Poales; Poaceae
Description: MIR812 microRNA precursor family
Rfam family: MIR812 microRNA precursor family
Source: Rfam by way of RNAcentral
AAUAAAGCAAUUUUUCACUUUUUACCUUAAAUUUUUAACUCUUCGUCUUAUUCAAAUUUUUUUGUGAUUGAUAUUUUUAUUUUUAUUAGAUAAUAAAUCAUGAAUAGUACUUUACGUGUGACUAAUAUUUUUCUAAUUUCCUAAAAAAAUUUUCAAAUAAAACGGAUGGUGAAACAUAGGACAAGGAAAC